RNAcentral lists this ribosomal RNA (425 nucleotides) under Salmonella enterica subsp. enterica serovar Enteritidis. Its description in RNAcentral is "partial 23S ribosomal RNA". It matches the Rfam family "Bacterial large subunit ribosomal RNA", at positions 103 to 568 of the family's 2925-position model. Lineage: Bacteria; Pseudomonadati; Pseudomonadota; Gammaproteobacteria; Enterobacterales; Enterobacteriaceae. The record is from RNAcentral.
ACCGGCGAUACCCGAAUGGGGAAACCCAGUGUGACUCGUCACACUAUCAUUAACUGAAUCCAUAGGUUAAUGAGGCGAACCGGGGGAACUGAAACAUCUAAGUACCCCGAGGAAAAGAAAUCAACCGAGAUUCCCCCAGUAGCGGCGAGCGAACGGGGAGGAGCCCAGAGCCUGAAUCAGCAUGUGUGUUAGUGGAAGCGUCUGGAAAGGCGCGCGAUACAGGGUGACAGCCCCGUACACAAAAGCGCAUGUGCUGUGAGCUCGAUGAGUAGGGCGGGACACGUGGUAUCCUGUCUGAAUAUGGGGGGACCAUCCUCCAAGGCUAAAUACUCCUGACUGACCGAUAGUGAACCAGUACCGUGAGGGAAAGGCGAAAAGAACCCCGGCGAGGGGAGUGAAAAAGAACCUGAAACCGUGUACGUACA